UUUAUUUUCGUGGGUAUCAAUUUUCGUGGAUGGAGGAAAACUUGCAUAUUCGUGGAUAUUUGAUUUCGUGGUUUUGUCAAUCUGUGCACACAAAGCCAUAGAAAAUUUGUAAUUCGUUGAACAUUUGAAUUCGUGGUUCACUUGUUCCCACGAAACCCACGAAAAUUGAUAUCCAACGAAUAAUAAUGAAUCUACAGUAGUUGAACA
This 207-nucleotide long non-coding RNA is filed under the name Mytilus galloprovincialis (Mediterranean mussel). Lineage: Eukaryota; Metazoa; Mollusca; Bivalvia; Mytilida; Mytilidae. The record is from RNAcentral.